GACAGAGGGUGCAAACGUUGUUCGGAAUUACUGGGCGUAAAGCGAGUGUAGGCGGUUUGGUAAGUCGGAUGUGAAAGCCCCGGGCUCAACCCGGGAAGUGCACUCGAUACUGCCAAGCUAGAGUAUCGGAGAGGUUGGUGGAAUUCUCGGUGUAGAGGUGAAAUUCGUAGAUAUCGAGAGGAACACCGGUGGCGAAGGCGGCCAACUGGACGAAUACUGACGCUGAGAACUCGAAAGCGUGGGGAGCAAACAGG
RNAcentral lists this ribosomal RNA (254 nucleotides) under uncultured bacterium. RNAcentral's name for it is "partial 16S ribosomal RNA". It matches the Rfam family "Bacterial small subunit ribosomal RNA", at positions 524 to 776 of the family's 1533-position model. The record is from RNAcentral.